Long non-coding RNA from Rhincodon typus (whale shark), 2324 nucleotides. RefSeq lists it as uncharacterized. NCBI's taxonomy places the organism in Eukaryota, Metazoa, Chordata, Chondrichthyes, Orectolobiformes, Rhincodontidae. The record is from RefSeq and is a predicted model, not a curated record. The transcript is spliced from 4 exons.
ACUUCCGGGAGGGGGUCUGUCAUGAGAGGUUUUGUCAUACCAGAAACCAAGAAGGUUCAAAAGAAGUUUGAUUAAGAAUAACUCGGGUCGUUACUGGUUUGAAUUCAUUCGUUGAUCGGGGGUCAGAUUGAUCUAAAGUAAAAGGAUUAGUGCGGGAUGUGAGGAGAAAUAUUUCACGAAACCUUCAAACUGUCUGGACGGUUUUUCUUUGGAUCUGCUAGACUAACGACCAGGUGCUGGAAGAUGGGGUAGUUUUCUUUUCUCCCAACUGCUGUGAACGUGACGGACUGAAUGGCCGCUUUUUAUGCUGCAACUUCUCCGUGGUUCCGUAAAGACAGUUUUGUGACACUUGCUACAAUUUUAUCACAACAAAGGAUAUACAAGCAUUGGAGGCAAUGCUUCCCUUUGUGGAAGAGCCUAGAACCAGAGGAUAUGACCCGAGUAAGGGGUCACUCGAUUAGGACAGCAAUGAGGAGGAAUUUCUUUACUCAGAGGCUAGUAAAUCUGUGGAAUUCUUUACUAAGCAGCUGCGCCAGCCCUCUGCAAAAGCUAAAGUCUUCGGUUCACCAAGGCAAUACUUUCCUGUGAUAUCACUAAGAAAGAUCCUUUGGAGAAAAGAAAACUAUAAAGCUUGUAUGAUUCUAUGACUAUGGCUCUAUAACUCGACAUCUGGAAUGUUCCUAUUCCAGGUUUUCUGGUUUUUUAGAGUUUUAUCCCUUUGUUGGGACCAUGGAGAUUAUAUUGACUGUUCUCAUACUGCUGUAAGAAUUGAAUCUGUUCAUGAAGAUGUAUAAUAAUCAGGUGUUUGGUUACGGGUUGGGAGUUUCAUUAUCUAUUAAUCCCUGAUUAUAGAUCAUGCCAAUCUGAUUUGGAUGUGUCGGAGAGCUGAUUUAUAGACCAACAUUUGGACAGCUCUUCUUAUAAACCAUCAAGAUGAUGACAGCGUUAUCAAUCAAUCUGUUGUUUGUAUAGAAAGCCAGUGACUGAUGUGAGAUCUGUUGGAUAAACCUUCUUAUCAGCAGAAGGAAGAGAUCAGUGGGAGGAAGUGGGGAACCAUUAAGACAUGUUAAACUUCCCAACAGUCUGGGGCGGUUUGGAUGGAACUCAUGUAACCAAUGGGUACCAUACGUCUGCCAAAGUGCUGUCCUAUCCUUUCAGUUCUGAGUAUAGCAGAGCUGAGAAACUGGCUGUCGUUGGUCAGCUCAGAUCCCUCUAGUGAUGCAAUUUUCACUUGUCAUUUAACCCCUCUCCCCUGCACCCCUCCAGUCUUUUUCUUUCUCCACCCACUCCUGGCUGCCUUCCUACAUCAAGAUUUUGAAUGACUCAUUACUGCAGGAGGUGGUUUCCUCAGUUGCAGUUGCUGUUACUGUACACGUACAAUGCUUGUAAUUUCCCUUUUGAGAGCUUCUGGUUUGUCCAAUAUUGUGACUCAACGUCAACUAAAUUUUCCAUAAGUUCCUAUUCACAAGUAGCCUAUUCAAAUGAAGAACCAACCAAUACUGUUCCCUGGCCAACAUCUCUGUCUCUGGCUUGCUGCAGUGUUCCAGUGAAGCCCAAUGCAAGCUGGAGGAACAACACCUCAUUUUCCGCUUGGGGACCCUACGGCCCUCCAGAUUCAAUAUUAAGUUCAAUAAUUUUGGGGCCUGAACGCUCUCAUGUCCCAGCCCCCCACCCCACACACACCAAGCCUUGUUAUCACAUAGCCUGCCAUUGUACCCCCUGUUGUUAGUCACUAACAGUCCCCAUUAACAACUAUUCACCCUCCCAGCCUGAUCAUUAGCAACUCCUUUGUCCAACUGUCUUUCUCUCUCUUUGGGCUCUAUCCUAUCGUUUACUCCCUACCCCACCCACUUCCCUAUUUUCUGCAUAUAAACUGACAUUUUCUCAGCCACCAUCAGCUCUGAGGAAGAGUCACCGGACCCGAAACAUUAACUCUGUAUUUUCCUUCACAAAUGCUGCCAGAUCUGCUGAGCUUUUCCAGCAACUUUGUUUUUGAACCGACCAAUAUAGCCUGACACUGAUGAAGUUACAAAAUCAGGCCCAUUGUAUCUCUGAACAUUCAUCAACAAUCUAUUAACUGUCAUCUUGUGCUGUUACUCAGUAUAAUUUCAUGUUGGAUUAAAUUGAAGACAUGAGUAAAGCUGUGUUUGUUGAUACCAAGAAUUUCAUUUAUACUGUUUCCUGUCCUGAUUAUAUUAAACCUUUAAAGUAAACAUUGGCAGAAUUAAAUUUAAUACACCAAUCUUUAUGGUUAUUCAAAAAUUGUGUCAUUAAUAUUUUUAUAUUGAUGCUUUUAACCAAUAAAUUAUAAUUUCUUUGGAAAA